RNAcentral lists this non-coding RNA (185 nucleotides) under Thermomicrobium roseum. Lineage: Bacteria; Pseudomonadati; Thermomicrobiota; Thermomicrobia; Thermomicrobiales; Thermomicrobiaceae. The record is from RNAcentral.
AGCAACGGAAAGUGGACGGGUGCCGGGAAGUCCGGUGCAAAUCCGGCGCUGCCCCGCAGCGGUGAGCGGGAACGAAGGCUGCAGCCAGUCAUCCUGACCGGGGCCACUGGCGGGAUACCGCUGGGAAGGUGCAGCUGGUAGGUCGAUCCGCGAGCCCGAAGACCGACCCGUCCGCUCGGAACGGU